Molecule: long non-coding RNA, 1277 nt
Organism: Oncorhynchus kisutch (coho salmon)
Lineage: Eukaryota; Metazoa; Chordata; Actinopteri; Salmoniformes; Salmonidae
Exons: 3
Source: RefSeq, a predicted model, not a curated record
CUGGCCAGCCGCGUCAUACGCUGCGUCAGACGCUGCCCACACGCAAGCAGACUUGCUUUGGGGAAGAAGCAGGCUACCGGGCCUGGAAAGCACAACUUCCUCACUCUUUGUCCUCAUGAACCUCUUUGCCAAAACAUCCAAAAAUGGUGAUUGACCGGAGUGUAUGAUGAGAACAGAGGUUGGCCCAAACACAAAGAGAGGAGCUGCCAAGCCAGUGCUGUCAGUCACCAAAGUGCAUCUGGCAGCAAGCGAGAUGAAUGUCCACACUAUUGAGCACUAUUAGAAAUGGAUUGGUUAAGGGCUUUGUAACACCACUUCAGGAUCAGGCAGACACAGGUAAUCUGCUUUCAAAGCACUGGAUUGAUAUGAAGCGACCAACGCUGCACUGUCUUCUUGAGAUAGGGAAGGGACAUCUUUGUGAAAGUGUAUUGUAUAACACUUCCCCCUUUUUCAGAUAUCUCAAAGUACACUACUUAUACAAAAGUAUGUGGACAUCCCUUCAAAUUAGUGGAUUCGACUGUUUCAGCCACACGCUACCUUCCCGAAUGCAUAUUGCCAACUUUCAAGUUUGGUGGAGGAGGAAUAAUAAUGGUCUGGGGCUGUUUUUCAUGGUUCGGGCUUCGCCCCUUAGUUCCAGUGAAGGGAAAUCUUAAUGCUACAGCAUACAAUGACAUUCUAGACGAUUCUGUGCUUCCAACUUUGUGGCAACCGUUUGGGGAAGGCUCUUUCCUGUUUCAGCAUGACAAUGCCCCUGUGGACAAUGUGAGGUCCAUACAGAAAUGGUUUGUUAAGGUCGGUGUGGAAGAAUUUCACUGGCCUGCACAGAGGCCUGAACCCAACCCCAUCGAACAUCUUUGGGAUGAAUUAGAAUGCUGACUGCAAGCCAGGCCUAAUCGCCCAAAUUCAGUGUCCGACCUCACUAAUGCUCUUGUGGCUGAAUGGAAGCAAGUGGAAGCAAUGUUCCAAAAUCUAGUGGAAAGCUUUUCCAGAAGAGUGGAGGCUGUUCUAGCAGCAAAGAGAGGACCAAGUCUAUAUUAAUGCCCUGAUUUUGGAAUUAGAUGUUUAACAAGCAGGUCACCAUACACUUUUGGUCAUGUGGUGUAGCUAGCGGGAGAGAAGGGGAGGUCGGAAGCAUUCUAUCCUAUUGAUUAGUAAAAUGUACAGGAGAAUUUUCAAAAAGCAAUACAGAAUGUCAAAGUUUUACUGUCAUGUUGACAUUUUGUGUCACAGUGACAUUUUUGAAGUCUAUCGAUUAAAGAAUCAAUUCAAUGAAGUCA